UUGCUUGGUGGUAUACGGCUGGGAUAAAUUGUAUAAAUUUGCUCAGCCGCGGAUUUAUACUAUGUGUGCAGGUGCUAAUCGGAAUAGGCUGGCUACUCCUAGCAUCAAUAAAGAGUCUCGCAAGCUUAGAUGCCUAAAGUCUGUUGAACAAUGUUUCAUUUAUCUUUGAUCCGCCUGUGGAUCCUUUACUUUCCGUUUGUA
Molecule: long non-coding RNA, 201 nt
Filed under: Helianthus annuus (common sunflower)
Lineage: Eukaryota; Viridiplantae; Streptophyta; Magnoliopsida; Asterales; Asteraceae
Description: hypothetical non coding rna
Source: RNAcentral